AUGGGGUUGCACCAGCAAGAGCCCAUCUCCCUAAAGUUACCACGGCAUAUGCUGGACUCUGAGGACACAGAACCAGGAAGCAUGUGCCAAGAAUACACGGAGAAUGGAGUCAGGAGUGUUCUGCAGGUUGGGGGCCCUGGAACACAGCAGCUCCAAAUCCUCCAGGACUUUCUAUCAAAUCUCAAGGGUGCAGCCUUGAAGACACAACAGGAGGAAUGAAAAGAACUCUCAGUCAGGGGCACGGGGCAAGUGAAAGAGGUCACGUC
RNAcentral lists this long non-coding RNA (266 nucleotides) under Fukomys damarensis (Damara mole-rat). RNAcentral describes it as "lncRNA (ENSFDAG00000024389.1)". The record is from RNAcentral. Lineage: Eukaryota; Metazoa; Chordata; Mammalia; Rodentia; Bathyergidae.